GAAGAGCGCCAACUUAACUCCAACACCAACCAACCGCGCAUUUACUGUAGGCUUAUGAGCUAUAUGAUAUGAGUAUACGUCCGGCCAGUCCGUGGUGUCUUUGGACUACUUCAGCAUAAUCGGUUCAAGCCCAAUGUUAUUUGUGUGCAUCAUAUAAUAACAAGGAAUUCUGCACUACUGAGUCAUAUGUUUGAGGUCAUGGGCAGUUUUAACAUUACAUUAGCAAUGACCACAAUUGAGUACAAGGCACAAGCUGAGAAAAGAAAUCAUGUCUGAUCCAGGCGCCACGUCAACCGCAGAAUUUUAAUAGCAGAAAGGUGUUCUCAAACAAGGCAAAUAAUCAGCUUUUGGAUACGUCCAUGUCGAGUGCCCUUUGACAGAAGGAAUGUGAUAAUACCGUAUGGGUACUAGUAUUCAACCCGGCAUAAUUCAAAGAUUUUGACAUAUUCCCCUAAAUAUUUAGAAAUAGGGAAUUUAUCUUAAUUUCACACCUUUAUUUCCAGGGUAAUCUGUUGUCGAUAUUUUCUUUGUCAAUCUGUCGACUGUAUGCGCGGAGGAUCGAAUUAUGCGGCGAUGGCCUUUUGCACUGAAUGGUACUAGUAUUCAACCUAGUGAGGAUUGAUAGCAAAUCUCAGAAGGGUUUAGAUUGCUAAAUUAGAUCAAUCAUCUAUGUAAAUCUCUGGCUUCUAUUAAUUCCGUUUGGUCUCAUCUCAAAUGGUCUAGUCCAUAGUCGGAUGGGACAAGGGCAGAUUGAGAGAUAGGGCCAUCUUUCAUCGCUAGGUUGAAUACUAGUGCCGACGGGUUGAAUACUAGUACCAAAAUCCGUCGCCGUAUAAUUCGAUCGCCCGCGCACACAGUCAAGUGGUUGAAGAAAAAAAUAACGGAAAAAGAAUAACCAGCAUUUGCUCUUGGAAAUAAGACGGGUCUGAAAUUCAGGUAAAUUCUAUAUUUCUAUAUAUUUAAGGAAACUCUCCAAACGGGUUGAAUACUAGUGCCCUUACGGUACAUUCAAAACAUCAAUUAGGGUCCUACAUGUAUAUUGGAUAACAUGAAUGAGCCAAUCAAUGACUGGACUUAUUUUGAAUAUCUUGAUACCAUCAUGCUGAAAUCAAAAGGACCUUUAUGUAAGCAUGAGUGGUAACCGCAAAGACAGCUAAUGACGAUGAACUGGAGAAGUGGGAGCAGAUGGAAAUUUCCGCAGGUCAGGCUGUCACCAAGGCUGCUGCUCAGAAGAGUUAAUCCGGUGUCGACCAAGACUUCUAUCCCAUUGAAUACAUUAAUGGAUGAUCCUGAGCAGCAACUGGGUGAGGAAUGGAGUUUUCGUCCGGAGGCAAUAGCAGGUCAGGUGGAGAGGAGAAUGUUGCUUGGAAGGCAUCCGCUUGUGGUUCUCUUAAAGUGAGAUGAGGUAUGACUUCAUUGUUGGUCAUUUCGAUUUCCCCUGGAGAGGACCCAUGCAGUUUGACCGUGAAAAGGAAGAGAGUGUGGCCAGGGAUGUGAACAGUGGACUUCAGGCGCCUAAUACACCAUGCUAAUACUAUUUUUGGGAAGUCCACCCGAUGCAGCUUCAUCAUCAUAGAUGAUCAAGGAUCCAGCUGAUCAUCCUGCAAGCCGGCUGGAACCCAGGGGACCUUACGUUACUUGACGCGAAUGUUCCCAACGACGAUCAAUGCUCCGAUAGCAUGUGAUGGAAAAAUUGGUCACAGAAUCAGUGCAUUUUAUACCUUCCAUGCAUGUGGCAAUGCUAAUUUUAUAUUAUUCAUAUAAAAUAAUGUAAAGAACAAGGUUAAAUAGAAGGCAGGGUCGGAUCCAUCUUUUGUCAAUAAGGGGAGGGGGAUGGGGGUGAUAUUUUAUCCUCAUUUUCCCUGAAGCAUAAGUAGUUGCAAUUUAUAGGGCACCAAGGGGGUAUAAAGAAUGGAGAGAUAUGUAUCAAAUGUUGUGACAAACUCUAAAAAUAAAGGGACUAGAGUGACUAUCUUGACAGUUUCUGAACUUUCAGUGGUGAAACCAAAGGAUUUUAUGCACAGUUUGGUGAGUUUCAAUCUGAAAAUGUAACUUUCCAAAUUUUUUCCCUUUACUUGAGAUGGGGGGUUGGGGUGCAGGGGCAACUGCCCUUCUUGUUUGCAAUGCUGUUUAUGACCAUGAAGGUAACCCCAACUCUCUCUUACCUCAUAAACGUAUAUUUUGGGGCAGGCGGUGACUUGAUCAAAUGAACAAGAUACCAGUAUCUGAGUAUUGAAGCAAAAUAUUUUUUAAUAAUAAAAGAAAAUGCAUUUCUUCACAAAAUUUGUAUUUCAAAAUAGUAUAAACCUAAAGGUAAACUGAUAUUGUGGCACCAAGUUGGUGUGUUUAGAAAAUGAAUUUCCGCUUGAACAUACAUUUUAGAAAAUAUUUUGAAUUGAUAAAUUUUUUGGAGCACCCUGCAUAUUUAGGGACCACAUGCACUGACAAGAUAUGAAGGUUUUAAGUUUGGUAGAGGCGGGGUUCCCCCCCCCCCAUAUCCAUAUACUGGUACCUUGUUGGUUUGAUGAAAAGUACUGUGUAGUAGAAUGAUCCUACCCUUCCUGCUCUCACUGGCUGUGCUGUGGACUUACUAGCUUAGCUAUUGCUUUGUUUUCUUUAUAGCCUUCAGAAUGAUACAACUCUGUAGAAAACUAGAAUGUUGUAUGCAGGGGCAGAUCCAGGAUUUUUCGAAGGGGGGGGGGGGCACAUUUUCCCC
Molecule: long non-coding RNA, 2716 nt
Organism: Lytechinus pictus (painted urchin)
Lineage: Eukaryota; Metazoa; Echinodermata; Echinoidea; Temnopleuroida; Toxopneustidae
Exons: 5
Source: RefSeq, a predicted model, not a curated record